Acomys russatus (golden spiny mouse) is the source of this 151-nucleotide small nucleolar RNA. RefSeq annotates it as small nucleolar RNA SNORA48. The transcript has a single exon. Lineage: Eukaryota; Metazoa; Chordata; Mammalia; Rodentia; Muridae. The record is from RefSeq and is a predicted model, not a curated record.
ACACACAGGAUAUGGGCAAAGAGACACCUUGUUAGUGGUGAUGUUCUUAUUUAUUAUAUCAGUCAGGGUCAGAGCAGAUUGCAGUCCUUUGUUCAUCCUAGCUUGACGCCUGGCUUGGUGGCCAAAGCUGUUUUAUGCCUAGGACACAUAC